GAUGAACGCUGGCGGCGUGCCUAAUACAUGCAAGUCGAGCGAACAGAUGAGGAGCUUGCUCCUCUGACGUUAGCGGCGGACGGGUGAGUAACACGUGGAUAACCUACCUAUAAGACUGGGAUAACUUCGGGAAACCGGAGCUAAUACCGGAUAAUAUAUUGAACCGCAUGGUUCAAUAGUGAAAGACGGUUUUGCUUUCACUUAUAGAUGGAUCCGCGCCGCAUUAGCUAGUUGGUAAGGUAACGGCUUACCAAGGCAACGAUGCGUAGCCGACCUGAGAGGGUGAUCGGCCACCCUGGAACUGAGAAACGGCCCCGACACCUACGGGAGGCAGCAGUAGGGAAUCUUACGCGAUGGGCGAGAGCCUGACGGAGCAACGCCGCGUGAGUGAUGAAGGUCUUAGGAUCGUAAAACUCUGUUAUUAGGGAAGAACAAAUGUGUAAGUAACUAUGCACGUAUUGACGGUACCUAAUCAGAAAGCCACGGCUAACUACGUG
RNAcentral lists this ribosomal RNA (497 nucleotides) under uncultured bacterium. RNAcentral's name for it is "partial 16S ribosomal RNA". It matches the Rfam family "Bacterial small subunit ribosomal RNA", at positions 28 to 507 of the family's 1533-position model. The record is from RNAcentral.